GGCUCCUUCGACCCCUGUUGCUUCAGCGCUGGGGGAGCGGCUACCAAUGAAGCUUGUGUCGCACGUGCCGACCUCCUUGCCCGUCCAAGGAGUGCUGGCAGCGUCGACUCCCGCUGCCUGCCUUAUUGCAGUACCAUCCUUUGUGUUCUCCCGGAGGUUUUAACCGAUGGGGCAUCCCUCCUCGGCGUAGCGGUGGCAGUCGUUCUACCCGAGGCGGCGCCACCGCUGGCCGCCGCUUCUUCUACUCCGGCUAGGGCCAUGGCUCUUCCGCUGCCAGAAGGGCGCCGAGAGGACCGUCCUUCUCCCCCUGAGACGCGAGGGAGGAUGUGGAAGAUUGGAGGUCGGUUGAAUCGGCCUCGUCCCAGGGUGAUAUGAGAAUCGGGACCAUCGUGGAGACGCUCGCUAGCUUUGGGACGUAAUCUCAAUUGCUCGGGCAUUGAUGACGCGGGAUGCCAUCCCCUUCGGUCAGCGUAUUUUCGCGCGGUCGAGGGCUAGGGUGGAGGCUUUGCUGUUCGCCCAUCGGGAGAUAGGGCAACUUCGCAUGGGGGCCACCCACUCUGAAGCAACAGCGUGAGCUUGUCGAGUUCUGCUCCGGGACGGAACAACUAGAAAUUAGUAAUAAUAUAUAAAUAUUCAUGAA
Long non-coding RNA from Zea mays, 640 nucleotides. RefSeq lists it as uncharacterized. NCBI's taxonomy places the organism in Eukaryota, Viridiplantae, Streptophyta, Magnoliopsida, Poales, Poaceae. The record is from RefSeq and is a predicted model, not a curated record. The transcript is spliced from 2 exons.